AGGGAAACCGAGUCUUAACUGGGCGUUAAGUUGCAGGGUAUAGACCCGAAACCCGGUGAUCUAGCCAUGGGCAGGUUGAAGGUUGGGUAACACUAACUGGAGGACCGAACCGACUAAUGUUGAAAAAUUAGCGGAUGACUUGUGGCUGGGGGUGAAAGGCCAAUCAAACCGGGAGAUAGCUGGUUCUCCCCGAAAGCUAUUUAGGUAGCGCCUCGUGAACUCAUCUUCGGGGGUAGAGCACUGUUUCGGCUAGGGGGUCAUCCCGACUUACCAACCCGAUGCAAACUGCGAAUACCGAAGAAUGUUAUCACGGGAGACACACGGCGGGUGCUAACGUCCGUCGUGAAGAGGUAAACAACCCAGACCGCCAGCUAAGGUCCCAAAGUCACAGUUAAGUGGGAAACGAUGUGGGAAGGCUCAGACAGCCAGGAUGUUGGCUUAGAAGCAGCCAUCAUUUAAAGAAAGCGUAAUAGCUCACUGGUCGAGUCGGCCUGCGCGGAAGAUGUAACGGGGCUAAACUGUGCACCGAAGCUGCGGCAGCGACGCUUAUGCGUUGUUGGGUAGGGGAGCGUUCUGUAAGCCUGCGAAGGUGUCCUGUGAGGGAUGCUGGAGGUAUCAGAAGUGCGAAUGCUGACAUAAGUAACGAUAA
This 649-nucleotide ribosomal RNA is filed under the name Salmonella enterica. RNAcentral describes it as "partial 23S ribosomal RNA". It matches the Rfam family "Bacterial large subunit ribosomal RNA", at positions 670 to 1315 of the family's 2925-position model. The record is from RNAcentral. Lineage: Bacteria; Pseudomonadati; Pseudomonadota; Gammaproteobacteria; Enterobacterales; Enterobacteriaceae.